GCAGGAUUGUCGUGAAGCCCAAGCAAGACGGGAAAAUCGAUGUCCAGACAGUGAGAGGGAAGCGUUAAACAGGGAUGAACAACAGCCCCCUUACGUCCAGGACCGGAGAACAUACAGAGGACGUGUUCAUACUUUCAGACACAGAAGGCCCGACCCGGCCCCCAGGAUUACCUCCUUCUGAUUGGUAGGAAAACUGAGGCCCCUAGAGCCAAAGGGGCUUGCUCAAAGUCUUGACAAAGGCAGCUUUGAAUCCAGAUCCUCUAACACCAAAAACAACCUUUUCUUCCACACACACACAGAACCACAUUAACAAUA
Molecule: long non-coding RNA, 315 nt
Organism: Antechinus flavipes (yellow-footed antechinus)
Lineage: Eukaryota; Metazoa; Chordata; Mammalia; Dasyuromorphia; Dasyuridae
Exons: 3
Source: RefSeq, a predicted model, not a curated record